GUUGUACCAACAUUGUAAAAAGGUUGAGGAUUCUACGUUGUUGCUAAAGGUUGUCACAACGAUGUCAUAAGGUUGCCAUUUAAACAUCAUGAGGGUCGCAUGCUUUAGGUUGUGCUUAGGUGGCGUGGACGACCACUGUACAACAUUUACUGGUCACAGCUGAAUCAGUUUAAAUUUCAACAAGCCGUCGUCUCAUUCAUCAACGACCGAGGAGACGCUAUUUUUACAUGGAGGUAAUCUUCUAUUGAUAAUUUCUGGAUUUUAAUUAUGCGUAAGUUGCAUAAAACUCUAUUGUUUAAUCACUCACUGUUGUUUUCAAAUUACUCGUGUAACUUGUCUUUCAAAAUGUUUUCAGCUGUUGAAUUCACCUCAUAUCAGUGUAGCUGUAAUUCCUUAUCUAUGGAAAGAAGAAUUGGAUGAGUGAGCAACGCCACAACUACAGGGCCUGUUCUUUCUCUUCUCAUAAUUUAACUGGAUUAUCCGUUGAAUUUGUUUCUUCCUCU
Molecule: non-coding RNA, 503 nt
Organism: Danio rerio (zebrafish)
Lineage: Eukaryota; Metazoa; Chordata; Actinopteri; Cypriniformes; Danionidae
Source: RefSeq, a predicted model, not a curated record